UACGUAGGGGGCAAGCGUUGUCCGGAUUUAUUGGGCGUAAAGAGCGUGUAGGCGGCCAGACAGGUCUGCUGUGAAAACUCGAGGCUCAACCUCGAGACGCCGGUGGAAACCGUCUGGCUAGAGUCCGGAAGAGGAGAGUGGAAUUCCUGGUGUAGCGGUGAAAUGCGCAGAUAUCAGGAAGAACACCCGUGGCUAAGGCGGCUCUCUAGUACGGUACUGACGCUGAGACGCGAAAGCGUGGGGAGCGAAAAGG
This 253-nucleotide ribosomal RNA is filed under the name uncultured bacterium. RNAcentral's name for it is "partial 16S ribosomal RNA". It matches the Rfam family "Bacterial small subunit ribosomal RNA", at positions 524 to 776 of the family's 1533-position model. The record is from RNAcentral.